GAUGAACGCUGGCGGCGUGCCUAAUACAUGCAAGUCGAGCGAACGGACGAGAAGCUUGCUUCUCUGAUGUUAGCGGCGGACGGGUGAGUAACACGUGUAUAACCUACCUAUAAGACUGGGAUAACUUCGGGAAACCGGAGCUAAUACCGGAUAAUAUUUUGAACCGCAUGGUUCAAAAGUGAAAGACGGUCUUGCUGUCACUUAUAGAUGGAUCCGCGCUGCAUUAGCUAGUUGGUAAGGUAACGGCUUACCAAGGCAACGAUGCAUAGCCGACCUGAGAGGGUGAUCGGCCACACUGGAACGGAGACACGGUCCAGACUCCUACGGGAGGCAGCAGUAGGGAAUCUUCCGCAAUGGGCGAAAGCCUGACGGAGCAACGCCGCGUGAGUGAUGAAGGUCUUCGGAUCGUAAAACUCUGUUAUUAGGGAAAAACAUAUGUGUAAGUAACUGUGCACAGCUUGACGGUACCUAAUCAGAAAGCCACGGCUAACUACGUG
RNAcentral lists this ribosomal RNA (497 nucleotides) under uncultured bacterium. RNAcentral's name for it is "partial 16S ribosomal RNA". It matches the Rfam family "Bacterial small subunit ribosomal RNA", at positions 28 to 507 of the family's 1533-position model. The record is from RNAcentral.